GACGAACGCUGGCGGCGUGCUUAACACAUGCAGGUCGAACGGAAAGGCCCUGCUUUUGUGGGGUGCUCGAGUGGCGGACGGGUGAGUAACACGUGAGUAACCUGCCCUUGACUUUGGGAUAACUUCAGGAAACUGGGGCUAAUACCGGAUAGGAGCUCCUGCUGCAUGGUGGGGGUUGGAAAGUUUCGGCGGUUGGGGAUGGACUCGCGGCUUAUCAGCUUGUUGGUGGGGUAGUGGCUUACCAAGGCUUUGACGGGUAGCCGGCCUGAGAGGGUGACCGGCCACAUUGGGACUGAGAUACGGCCCAGACUCCUACGGGAGGCAGCAGUGGGGAAUAUUGCACAAUGGGCGGAAGCCUGAUGCAGCAACGCCGCGUGCGGGAUGACGGCCUUCGGGUUGUAAACCGCUUUCGCCUGUGACGAAGCGUGAGUGACGGUAAUGGGUAAAGAAGCACCGGCUAACUACGUG
This 468-nucleotide ribosomal RNA is filed under the name uncultured bacterium. Its description in RNAcentral is "partial 16S ribosomal RNA". It matches the Rfam family "Bacterial small subunit ribosomal RNA", at positions 28 to 507 of the family's 1533-position model. The record is from RNAcentral.